Molecule: ribosomal RNA, 473 nt
Filed under: Streptococcus sp. oral taxon 064
Lineage: Bacteria; Bacillati; Bacillota; Bacilli; Lactobacillales; Streptococcaceae
Description: bacterial SSU rRNA
Rfam family: Bacterial small subunit ribosomal RNA
Source: RNAcentral
GACGAACGCUGGCGGCGUGCCUAAUACAUGCAAGUAGAACGCUGAAGAGAGGAGCUUGCUCUUCUUGGAUGAGUUGCGAACGGGUGAGUAACGCGUAGGUAACCUGCCUGGUAGCGGGGGAUAACUAUUGGAAACGAUAGCUAAUACCGCAUAAUAGUAGAUGUUGCAUGACAUUUGCUUAAAAGGUGCAAUUGCAUCACUACCAGAUGGACCUGCGUUGUAUUAGCUAGUUGGUGAGGUAACGGCUCACCAAGGCAACGAUACAUAGCCGACCUGAGAGGGUGAUCGGCCACACUGGGACUGAGACACGGCCCAGACUCCUACGGGAGGCAGCAGUAGGGAAUCUUCGGCAAUGGACGGAAGUCUGACCGAGCAACGCCGCGUGAGUGAAGAAGGUUUUCGGAUCGUAAAGCUCUGUUGUAAGAGAAGAACGAGUGUGAGAGUGGAAAGUUCACACUGUGACGGUAUCUUAC